CAACAGCAGUGGGAAUGGAGUCACAGGAAGAAUGAAAGAUAGGAAAGGAGAAGGGCCACAGUACCUGGCUUUGCUGUGCCCUCUCAGCUUCUCUUGGAUUGCUUUCACUCUCAUCCUCAUCUAUUGGUCCCCACU
Canis lupus familiaris (dog) is the source of this 135-nucleotide non-coding RNA. Lineage: Eukaryota; Metazoa; Chordata; Mammalia; Carnivora; Canidae. The record is from RefSeq and is marked provisional.